RNAcentral lists this non-coding RNA (141 nucleotides) under Sclerotinia borealis F-4128. RNAcentral's name for it is "Eukaryotic large subunit ribosomal RNA". It matches the Rfam family "Eukaryotic large subunit ribosomal RNA", at positions 1200 to 1333 of the family's 3401-position model. Lineage: Eukaryota; Fungi; Ascomycota; Leotiomycetes; Helotiales; Sclerotiniaceae. The record is from Rfam by way of RNAcentral.
CUCAUCAGACAGCACAAAAGGUGUUAAUUAGUUCAUCUAGACAGCACAGCAGGACGGUGGCCAUGGAGUCGGAAUCCGCUAAGGGAUGUGUAACAACUCACCUGCCGAAUGAACUAGCCCUGAAAUUGGAUGGAUAUGAGG